CGAAGUGUUAUGAAAAUCCAAAAACCUAGAGAGAUGAAGAGACUCUGAAGUCUGAACCCAGCAGAGCAAACCAAACCAGAGCAAAGCAAAAGGCCAGAGCUCUUGCUUUGUUUUAAUUUUAAUUUUUUUCCAAAUAACACCGACAAUUCUUCAACUUUGCAUAACAUGCUGUUUCUGGGUCAAGUGAAGUAGUGAAGUGAAGAGGCAAAGCCUAUAUCUGACAAACUUUGACAUAUCUAGUUUCCACAAGUCCAUAUAUAUCUUUUAAAAAGUUGUAUUUUUGGAAGCAAGCGAAAAUGUAUGGGGAUUGCCAAGUAAUGUCAACCAUGGGAGGUGGGAACGUAGUCACCUCGGAAACCCUCUUCUCGUCGCCGAUCCAAAACCCUAACUUCAACUUCAUGCCUUCCCAGCUCCCUUUCCAACCUUUCUCUUCCAUCAUCAAUCCUAAAGAAGAAAACGGGCUGCUGAUGAGAGGCAAGGAGGAGAUGGUGGAGAGUGGUUCUGGGAGUGAACAAGUUGAAGAAAAGUCUGGAAACGAGCAAGAGGCUGAUCAACUUCAACAGC
Prunus avium (sweet cherry) is the source of this 564-nucleotide non-coding RNA. NCBI's taxonomy places the organism in Eukaryota, Viridiplantae, Streptophyta, Magnoliopsida, Rosales, Rosaceae. The record is from RefSeq and is a predicted model, not a curated record.